UAAAGUGCGAAAAUUGAUGCGAAUUGCACGAAUCUGUGAGUCAUCUAAUCUUUGAACGCAAAUGGCACUCUUGUGUAAGCAAGAGUAUGUCUGUUUGAGAAUCGCAAACCCGAUCUACUCUAGAUAGAGUGAGGUAUUGGCUUUAGGACGCGUAAGCGGUCUUUAGCUUGAAUGUAUUAAGGCUGAUGAGUUCCCAAUGGUGGCCUCAAUGUGUGCUAGCGGACAGAUGUUUCGAUGUCACAUUGACGGUUCCAAUGCAAGCUCUAUAAACGGCCUCCUGCUGCUGCUGGGAGGGGGACGGCGACAUGGUCAAACAUGACGUCAUCACCAUCACGGCAUCAGAUCAUCAUCUAUUACGAUCUCAAAUCAGGCAAGAUUACCCGCUGAACUUAA
RNAcentral lists this unclassified non-coding RNA (393 nucleotides) under uncultured fungus. RNAcentral describes it as "sequence contains ITS1". The stretch from base 1 to 104 matches the Rfam family "5.8S ribosomal RNA", at positions 49 to 154 of the family's 154-position model. The record is from RNAcentral. Lineage: Eukaryota; Fungi.